UGGGGAAUAUUGGACAAUGGGCGAAAGCCUGAUCCAGCCAUGCCGCGUGUGUGAAGAAGGUCUUCGGAUUGUAAAGCACUUUAAGUUGGGAGGAAGAGCAGUUACCUAAUACGUGAUUGUUUUGACGUUACCGACAGAAUAAGCACCGGCUAACUACGUGCCAGCAGCCGCGGUAAUACGUAGGGUGCAAGCGUUAAUCGGAAUUACUGGGCGUAAAGCGUGCGCAGGCGGUUUUGUAAGUCUGAUGUGAAAUCCCCGGGCUCAACCUGGGAACUGCAUUCAAAACUGACUGACUAGAGUAUGGUAGAGGGUGGUGGAAUUUCCUGUGUAGCGGUGAAAUGCGUAGAUAUAGGAAGGAACACCAGUGGCGAAGGCGACCACCUGGACUGAUACUGACACUGAGGUGCGAAAGCGUGGGGAGCAAACA
Molecule: ribosomal RNA, 427 nt
Filed under: uncultured bacterium
Lineage: Bacteria
Description: bacterial SSU rRNA
Rfam family: Bacterial small subunit ribosomal RNA
Source: RNAcentral